Molecule: ribosomal RNA, 502 nt
Filed under: uncultured Glomeromycotina
Lineage: Eukaryota; Fungi; Glomeromycota
Description: partial small subunit ribosomal RNA
Rfam family: Eukaryotic small subunit ribosomal RNA
Source: RNAcentral
CCAAUAGCGUAUAUUAAAAUUGUUGCAGUUAAAAAGCUCGUAGUUGAACUUCGGGGUCUACCCAUUGGUCAGGCUUAAUUGUCUGCACUGGUGAGAUGGAUCUCUACCUUCUGAGGAACUUUCAUGCCAUUUAUUUGGUGUGAUGGGAAAUCAGGACUGUUACUUUGAAAAAAUUAGAGUGUUUAAAGCAGACUAUCGUCUGAAUACAUUAGCAUGGAAUAAUGAAAUAGGACGGACUGAUUCUAUUUCGUUGGUUUCUAGGAUCACCGUAAUGAUUAAUAGGGAUAGUUGGGGGCAUUAGUAUUCAAUUGUCAGAGGUGAAAUUCUUGGAUUUAUUGAAGACUAACUACUGCGAAAGCAUUUGCCAAGGAUGUUUUCAUUAAUCAAGAACGAAAGUUAGGGGAUCGAAGACGAUCAGAUACCGUCGUAGUCUUAACCAUAAACUAUGCCGACUAGGGAUCGGACGAAGUUAAUUUUAUAAUGACGCGUUCGGCACCUUACG